UGUUACAAAUUUUAUCCAAUUCUAUUAUUAAAAAUUGCGUGACUGAUAGAAAAACCUAACAGUUAUAUUGGUGUGCCACGGGCAUCUCAUACUGAUAUAUAGGGACCAACUUUUAACAGUAAAAAUAGAUAAAACUUUUAACA
This is a non-coding RNA of Gossypium arboreum, 143 nucleotides long. The record is from Rfam. NCBI's taxonomy places the organism in Eukaryota, Viridiplantae, Streptophyta, Magnoliopsida, Malvales, Malvaceae.